This 1427-nucleotide ribosomal RNA is filed under the name Triticum aestivum (bread wheat). Its description in RNAcentral is "partial small subunit ribosomal RNA". Lineage: Eukaryota; Viridiplantae; Streptophyta; Magnoliopsida; Poales; Poaceae. The record is from RNAcentral.
CGCCUAUUUGACCCACUAAUCAUCUAGUCCCCCUUAGCACGUGGCAACGGGCGCCUUGGCCCCUUCUCGUGUUCUUCUCUUCGAAUCGAGAUCACGACCGCGAGUGACGACGCGAAUCCCCCCAACCUCAAAUUUGCCACUCGCCCUCUUCCAAAGAUGGCUGCUUCGGCGGCCUUCGCGGCGGUGGCGGUCAUGAUGCUGGCGGCAGCGCACUUGGCCGUUGCGGCGGCGGCUCCGGUGACGGCCCCAGCCUUCCUCUGGGCGCCUGAGAACUAUGGUUCCCACGAGGCUAAAGGAGUAGUCCACUAUCAGACAAUGUCACCGGCAAGUUUAGCAAAAUCUGUUCUUGAUGAAGGUGGCUGGUCAAACUUGGUGUGUUCAAGGGAGGGCUCCUAUAAGGCUGUUGACAUUGCAGUUGUUUUUCUUGGCUCGAAGCUACAAUCGUCAGACAUCUCUAAAGAUAAGCAAGCUGAUACAUCUUUGGCAGACACACUAAAGCUCUCCUUCACAGGCUCAGAGUUUUCCAUGGCAUUCCCUUAUGUUGCUUUGACAGAUAAUGACAAAUUGGAGAGCUCAUUGCUAUCUGGACUUGCUGAGAAUUGUGACAAUGAUUUUCACGGAAACCACAUCACAUACACAGACACGUGUACUGUAAGUGGUGAAGAUCUGAAGAAACAUCAAAGCAUGGAUUCUAUUCGCGACUUAGUGAUGUCACGGGAGAGAAGCAAUCCAAGGGGAAAGGCUGAUCUAAUUGUUUUCUGUAAUGGUGGUUUCAAGGAUUUAGAUAAUGCAAAAUCAGAAGGGGAGUUGCUUUCCGAGCUGGUUUCUGUGCUGAAAAUGUCUGAGGCCAGAUAUACAGUUCUUUAUGCUUCCCAACCCUAUGGUUUACUGGAGAACCUUUCCAACCUACCAUUAGCCAGGUAUCUUGCAGAGAAGACCAACACUACUACUAAAUCUGGCCUAGGCAAAUGUGAUGGGGAGUGCCUAGUAAAAUCAAGUCUUCUGGAAGGAACUUUUGUUGGACUAGUGCUGCUGAUCAUUUUGAUAUCAGGACUAUGCUGUAUGAUGGGAAUCGAUACCCCCUCGAGGUUUGAGGCUCCCCAGGAUUAGGUAGGAGAGUACAAAAUCCCAUAGAAGCCUGCCAGAUAUGAAAGCUCAAGGCAGGCGUGAGAAAUACAAAUAGCCAAUUUACACUUAUUUUGGGACGGAGGGAGUAUAUGUUACCAAGACACGUGACCGAUUUUUUGUAUAAUAUUAUUACAUCUCGGACCUAUGACCGACCAGAAAGAUGUAGCUGAGCUCAAAACAUAUUCUUAUGCCAGGCUUGUGUUAUACCAACCCCCCCGCUUCAGGCAUUUUCUGUGAAUAACCUGGAAUUCAGGUAGUCAGUAAAAUGGCAUUGUCCAUGAAUAAAAUCUUUUUUAUUU